AGUGAUACACAGGGGAGGUGGUGUGUAAGCAAUAACAAAGGUAUAUAAAUAUGCAAUUGUUAUUGCUUACACACCACCUCCCCUGUGUAUCACU
Molecule: non-coding RNA, 94 nt
Organism: Pelobates cultripes (western spadefoot toad)
Lineage: Eukaryota; Metazoa; Chordata; Amphibia; Anura; Pelobatidae
Source: the annotation of a GenBank genome assembly